GCCUUCGAGGUGUAGUGGUCAGCACGCUUGACGCGUAUUCCAGAGGUCCGUGGUUCGAGUCCCGACGCAGGCG
RNAcentral lists this transfer RNA (73 nucleotides) under Stegodyphus mimosarum. It matches the Rfam family "tRNA". From Rfam's summary of the family: Transfer RNA (tRNA) molecules are approximately 80 nucleotides in length. The record is from Rfam by way of RNAcentral. Lineage: Eukaryota; Metazoa; Arthropoda; Arachnida; Araneae; Eresidae.